UACAGAGGGUGCGAGCGUUGUUCGGAAUUACUGGGCGUAAAGCGCGCGCAGGCGGCCCUUUAAGUCCGUCGGUCAAAUGCCGGGGCUCAACCCCGUUGCAUGCCGCGGAUACUGGAGGGCUGGAGACACGUAGAGGCAAGCGGAAUUCCGGGUGUAGCGGUGGAAUGCGUAGAGAUCCGGAAGAACACCGGAGGCGAAGGCGGCUUGCUGGGCGUGAUCUGACGCUGAGGCGCGAAAGCGUGGGGAGCGAACAGG
RNAcentral lists this ribosomal RNA (255 nucleotides) under uncultured bacterium. RNAcentral's name for it is "partial 16S ribosomal RNA". It matches the Rfam family "Bacterial small subunit ribosomal RNA", at positions 524 to 776 of the family's 1533-position model. The record is from RNAcentral.